GCCCGGGUGGUGAAAUUGGUAGACACAAGGGAUUUAAAAUCCCUCGGCGGUAACGCCGUGCCGGUUCAAGUCCGGCCCCGGGCACCA
This 87-nucleotide transfer RNA is filed under the name Bowmanella denitrificans. RNAcentral's name for it is "tRNA-Leu". It matches the Rfam family "tRNA". From Rfam's summary of the family: Transfer RNA (tRNA) molecules are approximately 80 nucleotides in length. RNAcentral also lists the same sequence under 4 other names. The record is from RNAcentral. Lineage: Bacteria; Pseudomonadati; Pseudomonadota; Gammaproteobacteria; Alteromonadales; Alteromonadaceae.